UAAAUCGCGUGUAUGCGCACGUUUAAUAAAAUAUUCCUCUGGAAAAUAAUAAAUGAAAUUUACGUAAAAUUUGUUCUCUCUAAUCUUUGAUUUCCAAAUUAUACGUAUAUAUAUAUAAAACUAAGAUUCGAAUUUGCAAAUAAACGAUACUGUAAGUACAUAUUUCUUACAAUGAAUAUAAACGAUGAAUCUAAAAGACAGAUAUUUUCUAUAUUAUAAUUUAAUACAACAUCAUUUGCAUUUGAAGCAUUACCGCGAUCAUGAUGUACAAACAUUGCAGCAAAAUCUUCCGAUAGACAAUUCAGAUAAAUUUAUAACUCGUAAUAUGAUUUCAUAGCACGAUAGUAAGAUAACGAGUGGAAAUCCUAGCCAUUAAUUUCUACAUUUUGACAAGAUAUUUAAUCGUUUAUAACCGAUGAUAUAUCGUGCAAUCGAUAUCGUAUGAUAAAUAACAGAUAAGUUGAAAUCGAUCGACUUCAUUUUUUGCGAAUCUUUCAAUUUCAAUAUAAAAACACGAUUGGCGUUCAAUUGGUUUAGAGAUUAAACGGUACGAUUUACCGUUUUCUCUCGUUUCUAGUUGCGGAACGACAGAGAUUCGACUUCGGUCGGAAUCUUGUCGGUUGGCUAAUAUUUUGGUUAGAAAACGGCCCGUGAAAAAAUAAGCAUCCGCUUGUAUUCGCGUUGCCAAAAGAGAGAAAGAGAGUUUCUCUACUCAUCUCGUGUUCUACGGAGUCGGUUUGAAUUCUCUGCGGUUUCGCCUCCGCCGCUUUGCCUCUUUAUCACCACUGUGUCAGAGGCCAUUAACCUCUUCCACUCGGUUUCUUCUUCUUCUCGCGCUGCCUCCGCCGCCUCCCGCCUCUCGCCUCCCGCCGACUAUCCUCGUCCCACCUAGACUUUGUUACUCUUUCUUUCCCGAUCGAGAGAUCGCUACUAUGGCGCUUAUCUCGCGUUUCUCCCCUCGUGCAUCCCGCGAUUCCUGGUCUGCCGCCGUGGUUACUUGGUCGCUUGGUUACUUGGUUACUCGGUUACCAAGGUGGCGAGGAAAAAGGACCCCGGUCCCCUCUGUGCGCGGAUUUCUGCGAAACUAAACGGCUAACGUCACCUUUUCGCCCACCGCGUCUCUCUCCCUCUCUCCCUCUCUCUCUUUUUCCCUUUGCUUUCUGCGCUUUUGUUCACUCCCCUCUGUUUCGACCAUCAAACGAACGCUCGCUCGUUAAUACUUCGGGGCUCGGAGCUCGGUUUAGUACCUAGAGAUGCCUCCACUUUGACUUGCGUUUUCCAUAUUCUUUAAAUAAUCCGUCGUUUGAAAAUUCUUUCCUUCUCUUCGAGCUUGCGAACCUUCGAAAACAUCGUUGUUUCGACCACCUUGCGAUCUAAAUCUAUCUCGAAUCCCUCGUUGUCUCGUUCCAUUCGAGAAAUAUUAAAUAAUUAGAGUAGUAUCUGUAAUCUUGUUUUUAUACAAGCUUAAUAAAAUAUUCCUGUCUGAUAGUUUAAACACUUUUUCGAAAAAAUACAUUUUCCAAAAAAUACAUAACUUUGAAAUUAUCCGUGAAGAAAAAAUACAACGUGUUACUUAAAACGAAACAAAUUGUAUUCGUACAAUCUUUUCCCAACGCUUGAUUCGAAUUACACUCGAGUAUCUCCGUGUCAAUAUGCUCGUCAUGCCACACGAAAAAUAAAGUAUCGAAACGUGUCUUCGGAGGCGUUCGAAACGUUUCAUUAUUUCGAACAGCACAUGUUUCUUCUUUUUUUUUCUUCUCCAGUAGAAAUACCGCUCGUGAUAACUUUUCAAAUCGAUCGAUAAUUUGGCCGUGAAAAGCAGACGAGUUUUUUACACGAAUCGAUCGCGAUCGUGCUGUAUUCAUCAUCAAUCGGGAAAAUUCAUAGGAUUUGCCUAGAAUAAGAGAGUCGAGUUUUACGUGUUUUUCCAAAAAAAGGGAAUUCGAUGUCAGUUAUUCAGAGAAAUUACAAUUUUGUGCGCAGAAUAUCGUAACUGUGUUAUAAUAAUUAUAAUUUGACGACGAAAAUGAAUCGAGAGAAAUAUCUUGCGUAUAUACGUUGAUAAGUUUCAUACGAAGAUGAUCUUUCUUUUGUUUGCAUGAUCUCAUUCAAUAUUUCAAAUAAUCAAUCCGAUAAUAUUGACAUUAUUACGAAAAAAAAAAAAAAAGAAAAAAGAAAAAUCAUUCGACAGACUAUGACAUCGUUCCUUAACGAUAGAUAAUUAUCGUCUCUUCUCUGAGGUUGAACGAGUGACGAGUUCGAUCGUAAUGGAGGAAAGUCGAGGCACGAGGGAUAAAUUUAUGAACUGGCCGAGACGUUGGGACAAGUGGCUGAAACUUGGACGCAUGGCAAGCCUAUUCAUAGGGGAACAUGUUUCCACCGAUGAGAUGAAGUCCAAGUGUUUCUUUCCUCCUUACUUCGUGUCAGUGUCUCUCAAAACGUUUAACGAAAUUAAAAUUUAUGUAGCUCGCCCAGCGAUUUCCGUUUGUAGGAGAAUUAUCUGAUUUUAACGAAUUGAAUUUUUUUUAAUUUCUUGGAUUUUGACAUUUUUCGUAUCAGAAGUGUGAUUUUGUUUAUGAUAUGUGUAUAUUAUACAAUAAUUUAAUGAUUUUAGGAUUGUGAAGGCAAUAAAAUGUCAGAGGAUUAGAUAUGCUUUUAUAAUAAUAUUUAUUACAUUGAAAAAUAUUAUCUUAAUUCAACAUUUGAAUUUUAUUCGUAUGAUAUUUCAACUUGGAAUAAAUUUAUCGGAUUUAUCGAUUAGAAUCGAAUAACUUAAUACUCUUGUUAAUGAAAAAUAAAAAUGUUUGAGAAAUACUGAUUUAUGCGAUCCAAAGAGAAAACGUUAAUGAAAAACUCGUACAUCAUCGUGGAUCGACUUCAACUUGUCUCCUUUCGACUUUUUGUUAGUCACAUAAUUUUAAAGAUAAGAGAAUCGGACAAUAUCUUUUUUUUUUUUAAAUUUUAUCACAUUGCGUGAAUCGAACAGAACUAGAACUUUUAUAUUAUCUUUCUCAUUUCUCAUUUAAAAGAUCGUAACAGGAAUAAUUAAGAGCAAGGUAAACUGAAAUUGAAACGAAUAUCAUAUUUUGAUUUGAUGAUCAUUUUUCAAACUUGUUAAACUCCGGUAUAAUUAACUUUUAAGGAUUAAUAAAAUUAUCGAUAAAAAAUAAUACAUUUCACGU
Apis cerana (Asiatic honeybee) is the source of this 3182-nucleotide long non-coding RNA. RefSeq lists it as uncharacterized. The record is from RefSeq and is a predicted model, not a curated record. Lineage: Eukaryota; Metazoa; Arthropoda; Insecta; Hymenoptera; Apidae.